Molecule: small nucleolar RNA, 52 nt
Filed under: Pyrococcus horikoshii OT3
Lineage: Archaea; Methanobacteriati; Methanobacteriota; Thermococci; Thermococcales; Thermococcaceae
Description: PHOsR25
Source: RNAcentral
AUGAUGAAAACUCCCUGAUCUGAAAAAUAAAUGAUGAAGACCGGUUCACUGA